ACGGAAGGCAGCAGUGGGGAAUAUUGCACAAUGGGGGAAACCCUGAUGCAGCGACGCCGCGUGAGUGAAGAAGUAUUUCGGUAUGUAAAGCUCUAUCAGCAGGAAAGAAAAUGACGGUACCUGACUAAGAAGCCCCGGCUAACUACGUGCCAGCAGCCGCGGUAAUACGUAGGGGGCAAGCGUUAUCCGGAUUUACUGGGUGUAAAGGGAGCGUAGACGGCUUUGCAAGUCUGAAGUGAAAGCCCGGGGCUCAACCCCGGAACUGCUUUGGAAACUGUAGAGCUAGAGUGCAGGAGAGGUAAGUGGAAUUCCUAGUGUAGCGGUGAAAUGUGUAGAUAUUAGGAGGAACACCAGUGGCGAAGGCGGCUUACUGGACUGUAACUGACGUUGAGGCUCGAAGGCGUGGGGAGCAAACAGGAUUAGAUACCCUGGUA
Molecule: ribosomal RNA, 434 nt
Filed under: uncultured Clostridium sp.
Lineage: Bacteria; Bacillati; Bacillota; Clostridia; Eubacteriales; Clostridiaceae
Also listed under: 2 other names
Description: partial 16S ribosomal RNA
Rfam family: Bacterial small subunit ribosomal RNA
Source: RNAcentral